AUUGAACGCUGGCGGCAUGCCUUACACAUGCAAGUCGAACGGUAACGGGCCUUCGGGUGCCGACGAGUGGCGAACGGGUGAGUAAUGUAUCGGAACGUACCUUUCAGUGGGGGAUAACGUAGCGAAAGUUACGCUAAUACCGCAUAUUCUGUGAGCAGGAAAGCAGGGGAUCGCAAGACCUUGCGCUGAUUGAGCGGCCGAUAUCAGAUUAGCUAGUUGGUGAGGUAAAGGCUCACCAAGGCGACGAUCUGUAGCGGGUCUGAGAGGAUGAUCCGCCACACUGGAACUGAGACACGGUCCAGACUCCUACGGGAGGCAGCAGUGGGGAAUUUUGGACAAUGGACGAAAGUCUGAUCCAGCAAUGCCGCGUGCAGGACGAAGGCCUUCGGGUUGUAAACUGCUUUGUACAGAACGAAAAGUCUUUAAUAACACUAGAGGCUCAUGACGGUACUGUAAGAAUAAGCACCGGCUAACUACGUGCCAGCAGCCG
This 490-nucleotide ribosomal RNA is filed under the name uncultured bacterium. Its description in RNAcentral is "bacterial SSU rRNA". It matches the Rfam family "Bacterial small subunit ribosomal RNA", at positions 30 to 517 of the family's 1533-position model. The record is from RNAcentral.